GACGUAGGGGGCAAGCGUUGUCCGGAUUUACUGGGCGUAAAGAGCGUGUAGGCGGCCAAGCAGGUCCGUUGUGAAAACUGGAGGCUUAACCUCCAGACGUCGACGGAAACCGCGUGGCUAGAGUCCGGAAGAGGAGAGUGGAAUUCCUGGUGUAGCGGUGAAAUGCGCAGAUAUCAGGAAGAACACCAAUGGCGAAGGCAGCUCUCUGGGACGGUACUGACGCUGAGACGCGAAAGCGUGGGGAGCGAACAGG
This 253-nucleotide ribosomal RNA is filed under the name uncultured bacterium. Its description in RNAcentral is "partial 16S ribosomal RNA". It matches the Rfam family "Bacterial small subunit ribosomal RNA", at positions 524 to 776 of the family's 1533-position model. The record is from RNAcentral.